RNAcentral lists this ribosomal RNA (403 nucleotides) under bacterium. RNAcentral describes it as "partial 16S ribosomal RNA". It matches the Rfam family "Bacterial small subunit ribosomal RNA", at positions 355 to 776 of the family's 1533-position model. The record is from RNAcentral.
UGGGGAAUAUUGCACAAUGGGGGAAACCCUGAUGCAGCGACGCCGCGUGAACGAAGAAGGUAUUCGUAUCGUAAAGUUCUGUCCUAUGGGAAGAUAAUGACAGUACCAUAGAAGAAAGCUCCGGCUAAAUACGUGCCAGCAGCCGCGGUAAUACGUAUGGAGCGAGCGUUGUCCGGAAUUAUUGGGCGUAAAGGGUACGCAGGCGGUUUAAUAAGUCGAAUGUUAAAGAUCGGGGCUCAACCCCGCAAAGCAUUGGAAACUGAUAAACUUGAGUAGUGGAGAGGAAAGUGGAAUUCCUAGUGUAGUGGUGAAAUACGUAGAUAUUAGGAGGAAUACCAGUAGCGAAGGCGACUUUCAGGACACAAACUGACGCUGAGGUACGAAAGCGUGGGGAGCAAACAGG